Molecule: non-coding RNA, 847 nt
Filed under: Homarus gammarus (European lobster)
Lineage: Eukaryota; Metazoa; Arthropoda; Malacostraca; Decapoda; Nephropidae
Source: RNAcentral
GGUGGAAGUUUGAUUCUUGCUUGAUACUUUUACGUUAUAGCUGGUAAAUACAUGUAAAUAAUUGUGUGGAGUGAAAAAUGAGUAAAUUUAUUAAAAAUAAGUUUAAUUAGAAAAGUAUAAAUCGUGUUAAGAAAAUUAAAAUCACAGUAUAAAAUAUUAAAUUAUGGGCGGUAGCUUGAUUUGGUAGUUAUAAGAAGUCUGACUAAGUUUUGUGCCAGCAGUCGCGGUUACACUUUAAGAUUAAGUAAAAGUAAUUUAGUUAACAGUUAAUUAAAAAUUUAUAAGUUAGUUUAGUUUAUUUUAAUAAAAGGUAAAAUUAGAUUGUUAAUUAGUAAAUUAAAUUAGUAUAUAAAAAAGAUGAAACUGUAGAUGCCAGGGUAUGAACUAGGAUUAGAUACCCUAUUACACCUGGGAGUAAAAUUUAAAUGCUUGAAUAUUAAUAGUUAUAUUCUUUAAAAUCAAAGAAUUUGGCGGUAUUUUAGUCUUGUUAGAGGAACUUGUUCUAUAAACGAUAAAACACGCAGAAUCUUACUUAUCUUGGUAAAUUUUACAGUUUGUAUACCGUCAUUAUUAAAUAAUCUUGAAAAAGUUAAUUAUUGGGAUUAAAAAAAUUAAAUAUAUUAGAUCAAGGUGCAGCUGAUAGAUAAGUAGAAAUGAGUUACAAUAAUACUUAUUUAUAACGGAUUGAAGAUAGAAUUAUUUUCAAAGAAGGUGGAUGUAAUUGUAAAAAAAGUUUAAUAAGCUUUUUUGGUAUAAGCUCUAAAUUAUGUACAUAUCGCCCGUCACUUUCAUUUAAAAUGAAAUAAGUCGUAACAUAGUAGGUGUACUGGAAAGUGUCCCUAGAAAU